GAGUUUGAUCAUGGCUCAGGAUGAACGCUGGCGGCGUGCUUAACACAUGCAAGUCGAACGAAGCGCCUUAUUUGAUUUUCUUCGGAACUGAAGAUUUGGUGACUGAGUGGCGGACGGGUGAGUAACGCGUGGGGUAACCUGCCCUGUACAGGGGGAUAACAAUCAGAAAUGACUGCUAAUACCGCAUAAGACCACAGCACCGCAUGGUGCAGGGGUAAAAACUCCGGUGGUACAGGAUGGACCCGCGUCUGAUUAGCUGGUUGGUGAGGUAACGGCUCACCAAGGCGACGAUCAGUAGCCGGCUUGAGAGAGUGAACGGCCACAUUGGGACUGAGACACGGCCCAAACUCCUACGGGAGGCAGCAGUGGGGAAUAUUGCACAAUGGGGGAAACCCUGAUGCAGCAACGCCGCGUGAGUGAAGAAGUAUUUCGGUAUGUAAAGCUCUAUCAGCAGGGAAGAAAGUGACGGUACCUGACUAAGAAGCCCCGGCUAACUACGUGCCAGCAGCCGCGGU
This 515-nucleotide ribosomal RNA is filed under the name uncultured microorganism. Its description in RNAcentral is "bacterial SSU rRNA". It matches the Rfam family "Bacterial small subunit ribosomal RNA", at positions 9 to 521 of the family's 1533-position model. The record is from RNAcentral.